GAUGAACGCUGGCGGCGCGCCUAACACAUGCAAGUCGAACGAUUAAAGCACCUUCGGGUGUGUAUAAGGUGGCGAACGGCUGAGUAACACGUGGGCAACCUGCCCCUUUCAUUGGGAUAGCCACGGGAAACCGUGGAUAAUACCGAAUACUUCGAGACUUCCGCAUGGAAGACUCGAGAAAGCUCCGGCGGAGAGGGAUGGGCCCGCGGCCUGUUAGCUUGUUGGUGGGGGAACGGCCUACCAAGGCAAUGAUGGGUAGCUGGGCUGAGAGAGCGACCAGCCAGAUUGGGACUGAGACACGGCCCAGACUCCUACGGGAGGCAGCAGUGGGGAAUCUUGCACAAUGGGCGAAAGCCUGAUGCAGCGACGCCGCGUGCGGGAUGAAGGCCUUCGGGUUGUAAACCGCUUUCAGCAGGGACGAGGCGAAAGUGACGGUACCUGCAGAAGAAGCCCCGGCUAACUACGUG
This 467-nucleotide ribosomal RNA is filed under the name uncultured bacterium. RNAcentral's name for it is "partial 16S ribosomal RNA". It matches the Rfam family "Bacterial small subunit ribosomal RNA", at positions 28 to 507 of the family's 1533-position model. The record is from RNAcentral.